RNAcentral lists this ribosomal RNA (253 nucleotides) under uncultured bacterium. RNAcentral describes it as "partial 16S ribosomal RNA". It matches the Rfam family "Bacterial small subunit ribosomal RNA", at positions 524 to 776 of the family's 1533-position model. The record is from RNAcentral.
UACGUAGGGCGCAAGCGUUAUCCGGAAUUAUUGGGCGUAAAGAGCUCGUAGGCGGUUUGUCGCGUCUGCCGUGAAAGUCCGGGGCUCAACUCCGGAUCUGCGGUGGGUACGGGCAGACUAGAGUGAUGUAGGGGAGACUGGAAUUCCUGGUGUAGCGGUGAAAUGCGUAGAUAUCUGGAGGAAUACCGGUGGCGAAGGCGGCAUCCUGGACCGACAUUGACGCUGAGGAGCGAAAGCUAGGGGAGCAAACGGG